GAAAAAGAGGAGUGGCGAACGGGUGAGUAACACGUGGGUAACCUGCCCAUCAGAAGGGGAUAACACUUGGAAACAGGUGCUAAUACCGUAUAACAAUCAAAACCGCAUGGUUUUGAUUUGAAAGGCGCUUUCGGGUGUCGCUGAUGGAUGGACCCGCGGUGCAUUAGCUAGUUGGUGAGGUAACGGCUCACCAAGGCCACGAUGCAUAGCCGACCUGAGAGGGUGAUCGGCCACAUUGGGACUGAGACACGGCCCAAACUCCUACGGGAGGCAGCAGUAGGGAAUCUUCGGCAAUGGACGAAAGUCUGACCGAGCAACGCCGCGUGAGUGAAGAAGGUUUUCGGAUCGUAAAACUCUGUUGUUAGAGAAGAACAAGGAUGAGAGUAACUGUUCAUCCCUUGACGGUAUCUAACCAGAAAGCCACGGCUAACUACGUGCCAGCAGCCGCGGUAAUACGUAGGUGGCAAGCGUUGUCCGGAUUUAUUGGGCGUAAAGCGAGCGCAGGCGGUUUCUUAAGUCUGAUGUGAAAGCCCCCGGCUCAACCGGGGAGGGUCAUUGGAAACUGGGAGACUUGAGUGCAGAAGAGGAGAGUGGAAUUCCAUGUGUAGCGGUGAAAUGCGUAGAUAUAUGG
This 631-nucleotide ribosomal RNA is filed under the name uncultured Bacilli bacterium. Its description in RNAcentral is "bacterial SSU rRNA". It matches the Rfam family "Bacterial small subunit ribosomal RNA", at positions 84 to 701 of the family's 1533-position model. Lineage: Bacteria; Bacillati; Bacillota; Bacilli. The record is from RNAcentral.